GCGUAGACGAUGACCAACAGGUAGAUAUUCCUGUACCACCGAUUGUCGAUAAAGAGCUGAUGCAGUGACACAGGAGGAUAGCGAAUCCGCGGUAAUGGAAAUCUGCGGCCAAAUCAUGAGGGGUCUAAAUUGUAAAGUACGUUUAGAGCGCACCCUAGGUGAUGAUGGGGAGUGAAAAUUAGUAAUGAAGUUCGUGAAUUCACACUGGCGAGAAAAGCUGCUAGGUAGACAAUAGGUGCCCGUACCGCAAUCCGACACAGGUAGAUGAUGAGAGAAUCAUAAGACGAACGGGAUAACCCUUGUUAAGGAACUCGGCAAAAUGACCCCGUAACUUCGGAAUAAGGGGUGCCAGCGCAAGCUGGUCGCAGUUAAUCGGCCCAAGCGACUGUUUAUCAAAAACACAGGUUUCUGCUAAAGCGCAAGCUGAAGUAUAGGAGCUGACGCCUGCCCGGUGCUGGAAGGUUAAGAGGAGAGGUUAGCGCAAGCAAAGCUUUGAAUUUAAGCCCCAGUGAACGGCGGCCGUAACUAUAACGGUCCUAAGGUAGCGAAAUUCCUUGUCAGGUAAGUUCUGACCCGCAUGAAUGGCGUAACGACUUGGGCACUGUCUCAACAGGGGACCCGGCGAAAUUGUAGUAUACGUGAAGAUGCGUAUUACCCGCGACUAGACGGAAAGACCCCGUAGAGCUUUACUGUAAUUUGGCAUUGAGUUUCGGAGUUCGAUGUACAGGAUAGGUGGGAGACUUUGAAGCAGAGGCGUCAGCCUUUGUGGAGUCAACCUUGGGAUACCACCCUUUGGACUUUGAGGCUCUAACGUUGUGCAGUUAUCCUGGCAGCGGACAGUGUCUGAUGGACAGUUUGACUGGGGCGGUCGCCUCCUAAAGAGUAACGGAGGCGCUCAAAGGUUCCCUCAGGAUGGUUGGAAACUAUCUUUUAGAGUGUAAAGGCAUAAGGGAGCUUAACUGCGACACCUACAAGUGGAGCAGAUACGAAAGUAGGACUUAGUGAUCCGGCGGUUGAGUAUGGAAUUGCCGUCGCUUAACGGAUAAAAGUUACCUCGGGGAUAACAGGCUUAUCUCUCCCAAGAGUUCACAUCGACGGGGAGGUUUGGCACCUCGAUGUCGGCUCCUCACAUCCUGGGGCUGUAGUAGGUCCCAAGGGUUCGGCUGUUCGCCGAUUAAAGUGGCACGCGAGCUGGGUUCAGAACGUCGUGAGACAGUUCGGUCCCUAUCUAUCGUGGGCGUAGGAUAUUUGAGUGGAGCUGUCCCUAGUACGAGAGGACCGGGAUGGACAUACCAAUGGUGCACCAGUUGUCACGCCAGUGGCAUAGCUGGGUAGCGAUGUAUGGAAAGGAUAAAUGCUGAAAGCAUCUAAGCGUGAAACCUGCCACAAGAUUAGAUAUCCCAUAACAUAAGUUAGUAAGACCCCUUGAAGACUACAAGGUUGAUAGGUCGGAGGUGUAAGUGCAGUAAUGCAUUGAGCUGACCGAUACUAAUAGGUCGAGGGCUUGAUCAC
Molecule: ribosomal RNA, 1512 nt
Filed under: human gut metagenome
Description: bacterial LSU rRNA
Rfam family: Bacterial large subunit ribosomal RNA
Source: RNAcentral